CUCAGACAGAAGCAGGUACUAUAGAGCCAAAUAAAUCUAUAGCUAGUCCAGUUCAAACGGAAGCUGGUAAAGACUUAUCAAAUCCGUUUAUGGUUCUGGGCUUACCAAAAGCUCAACAGACUCAGAGGACUGUUGAUUCCUCUACUUCUCAGACUCAACAGGCUGAAAAUCCUGUUACAUAUAAUAAAGAAGAUCAGACACAGCAGACUGAUAAUUCUGCUACUAGACUUAUUAGUCCAUUAGAUCUUAAACAGAAAAGUCCAAUUAAUUUUCCAGGAUCAUUCCAAUCAGCUCAAGAUCCAGAUCAAAUUUCUCAAUCAGAUAUUAGAAAGAUUAAAGAGAUGUUUGAAAAGAUUGAAGAAAUUCAGCAACAAGUUAAACAAAGUACUACUAAGAAAAAGAAAUUACAAAUUAAAAAGAAAAACAAAGGAAAAAAGAAGAUUGAACAAGAAAGAGAUUUGGAUAAUAAUUCAGAAGACAACCCAGAAGACUUUACUGACGGAGGAGAUUCUUUAGAUAGUAUUGGCAGACACAAUUAUGCAACAAGAUGAGAGAUUUUUCAGACAGGUGUAAAGAAUUGAUAUAGAUGCAUCAGAAAAAUGAAGAAAAGACAAGAAGUUUCUGGCAAAAGAAUCAACAGAUUAGAGAUUUUUUCCAGAUGUCAAGACUUUUUUGUACGAAAAGAAGAUUUUACUAUUUACUUUUUGAAAAUUUUGUAAAAGAAUCUUACUAUUAUAUAAAGUAAGAUUUGAUAGGAUAGCUUUUACUAUUCUCUUUUUGACGUUUUGAAAAAAGCAAAGAUUCCUUGCUUUUAGAUAACGUCUAUCUUAUUUUUCUUCUCCUAUAAAAGGAGAUCAUUCUUUCAUUUGUAAGAACACGGAAGAACAUAUAUACAAUACAAGUUUCUAAUUCUCUCAAAUAUGUUCUAAUUUUCCUUCUUUCCCGAAAGGGAAAUUCUUAAUUGUUCUUAUUCUUAGAUGAAAUAAUAUCCUACAAAAAUAUUUAUAUUUUUAAACUACCGAUGGAUCAUUCCGGUAGAUAUGUUUUAUAUAGUUCUAAAGAUAUGGUGCUAAUAGUUAAUAUUAGUUCCAGAUCUUAUAAGAACAUUUAUGUUCAAAAAAUUUUAAUGAUUUUGUAAAGAUUUUUAUGUUUCAUGAUGAGUAUAUGAUAAGAGCAUGUCUUAACUUCAAGUUUAAAGUUUAAAACUGUUUUUAAAAUAAGCCCUGAGUGACCUCUCAAAGCGUAAAGGCCCAGUGGAGAGGCUAGGAGACGCAUAGAAGAGGGAAAGGGAUCACUGUUUUAAGAAUUCUUGUUAAGGGAGUGCCAGUGGUGUCCUUACAAGAAUGGAGUUAGGCCCAAGUUCAUAUAUCUCAGAUGGCAUAUUUCAAAUUAUGUUUUAAAAAAAAAAAAAAAAAAAGGAUAUUAUUUUAUCAAAAGAAGAAGAAAACCUCAAUUAAGAAGAGUACUGAGUAGGAUUUUCUUAUAAACAUCCNCCAAAUUAUUUUAUUGCUCCUUCUUUAAAAAAUGUUUCAGAUCAACCUUUAGAUUAUUCUUCAAGAUUUUGUGAUCAUUGUGAAUGUAUGACAAAGAACUUUAAAAUUUUAAAUGAAUCAAAUCAGACUUUGCAACAAGAAAAAUUAGCAUUACAAAAGAAGAUCUCUGAUUUGGAGCAAGAGAUUAUUAAUUUAAAAAUUUCAAAUCCUAUUUCUCAGACAGAAGCAGGUACUAUAGAGCCCAAUAAAUCUAUAGCUAGUCCAGCUCAAACGGAAGCUGGUAAAGACUUAUCAAAUCCGUUUAUGGUUCUGGGCUUACCAAAAGCUCAACAGACUCAGAGGACUGUUGAUUCCUCUACUUCUCAGACUCAACAGGCUGAAAAUCCUGUUACAUAUAAUAAAGAAGAUCAGACACAGCAGACUGAUAAUUCUGCUACUAGACUUAUUAGCCCAAUAGAUCUUAAACAGAAAAGCCCAAUUAAUUUUCCAGGAUCAUUCCAAUCAGCUCAAGAUCCAGAUCAAAUUUCUCAAUCAGAUAUUAGAAAGAUUAAAGAGAUGUUUGAAAAGAUUGAAGAAAUUCAGCAACAAGUUAAACAAAGUACUACGAAGAAAAAGAAAUUACAAAUUAAAAAGAAAAAUAAAGGAAAAAAGAAGAUUGAACAAGACAGAGAUUUAGAUGACUCCAAAGACAAUAAUUCAGAAGAUAAUCCAGAAGAUUUUACUGAUGGAGGAGAUUCUUUAGACAGUAUUGGCAGACACAAUUAUGCAACAAGAUAAGAGAUUUUUCAGACAGGUGUAAAGAAUUAAUCAGACAGCUGGAGAAAAGACAAGAAGUCUCUAGAAAAAGAAUAUAUUGAUUGAAGAUUUUUGUCCAGACGUCAAGACUUUUGAAGAUUUUUUACUAUUUACUUUUUGAAAAAUCUGUAAAAGAAUCUUACUAUUAUAUAAAGUAAGAUUUGAUAGGAUAGCUUUUACUAUUCUCUUUUUGACGUUUUAAAAAAAGCAAAGAUUCCUUGCUUUUAGAUAACGU
This 2523-nucleotide long non-coding RNA is filed under the name Olea europaea subsp. europaea. Lineage: Eukaryota; Viridiplantae; Streptophyta; Magnoliopsida; Lamiales; Oleaceae. The record is from RNAcentral.